This is a long non-coding RNA of Amphiprion ocellaris (clown anemonefish), 700 nucleotides long. The record is from Ensembl. NCBI's taxonomy places the organism in Eukaryota, Metazoa, Chordata, Actinopteri, Pomacentridae.
UGGAGUUUGGCUUACGUUGAGAGGAAAGUGGGCAGAGCCGCUGAAGGAUAUCAGCUCAGGCAGAGCAGAGGGGAGGACACACGCAGCAGAGGAGCAAGGCGUCGAGGACGGAGAGGAGAGAAGGCGCAACGAUGCGGCUCAAAGUCCCACCAAAACGACGAAAAUCGCCCAAAAACGCGACUCCGACUAUGGCAGACGACGGGGGAUAGACACGGCCUGGGAAAUGGGGAUUUUCCUCGAUGUUUUACGAACUACGUCAAGGAAGAAAGGAGGUUGUUUCACCUAAGCUAAAUGGGUUGACAUUUAGCCACCAUGAAAUGAAGAAUUCGUGUGAUCCACGCUUCAGUGGGGAUUUCUGAGACUUGGACUGGUGAGAAGAUUUUCCAAUUUUGAAGAAAAAGAAGACAGCUCUACCCCAUUCAACUGGAUAUUGAUGAAGUGGAGACAGCGUUGUUUAACGCGAAGAUGGCAAGCGAUUUGGCGGUUAGCCAAAUUUUGACAAGACGAAACCUUUUUCUGAGUGGACUUUGACGUUUGGAUUUUUAUUAUUUUUUUUUACCACAACAAUGGACUCUGGAACACCGUCACUGACUGUGUAGUGGACUCGUUAAAAAAUUGCAUUGUUUUUUCUGGGAAACACAAAAUGCGCCUUUGUACAUUUGAUAUUCAAAUGUUGUUUUAAAUAAAGUGUAUGUCCUCG